RNAcentral lists this small nuclear RNA (20 nucleotides) under Arabidopsis thaliana (thale cress). Its description in RNAcentral is "snRNA_00156". The record is from RNAcentral. Lineage: Eukaryota; Viridiplantae; Streptophyta; Magnoliopsida; Brassicales; Brassicaceae.
UAAAAACCGUAUGUAAUUCG